CCUACGGGCGGCUGCAGUGGGGAAUAUUGCACAAUGGGGGGAACCUUGAUGCAGCCACGCCGCGUGAAUGAAGAAGUACUCCGGUAUGUAAAGCCCUGUCAGCAGGGGAGAAAAUGACGGUACCUGACCAAGAAGCCCCGGGUAACUACGUGCCAGCAGCCGCGGUAAUCCGGAGGGCUGAAGCGUUAUCCGGAUUUACUCGGGGUAAAGGGGGCGUAGACGGGAAGGUAAGGUUGGAGUGAAAGUCCGUGGCCCAACCACGGGACUGCCUUGGAAACUGUGUUGCUGGAGUGCAGGAGGGGUAAGCGGAAUUCCUGGUGUAGCGGUGAAAUGCGUAGAUAUUAGGAGGAACACCGGUGGCGAAGGCGGCUUACUGGACUGUAACUGACGUUGAGGCUCGAAGGCGUGGGGAGCAAACAGGAUUAGAUACCCGUGUAGUC
RNAcentral lists this ribosomal RNA (440 nucleotides) under uncultured bacterium. RNAcentral describes it as "partial 16S ribosomal RNA". It matches the Rfam family "Bacterial small subunit ribosomal RNA", at positions 338 to 795 of the family's 1533-position model. The record is from RNAcentral.